RNAcentral lists this ribosomal RNA (466 nucleotides) under uncultured bacterium. Its description in RNAcentral is "partial 16S ribosomal RNA". It matches the Rfam family "Bacterial small subunit ribosomal RNA", at positions 28 to 507 of the family's 1533-position model. The record is from RNAcentral.
GAUGAACGCUGGCGGCGUGCUUAACACAUGCAAGUCGAACGAUGAAGCCCAGCUUGCUGGGUGGAUUAGUGGCGAACGGGUGAGUAACACGUGAGUAACCUGCCCUUAACUCUGGGAUAAGCCUGGGAAACUGGGUCUAAUACCGGAUAGGAGCGUCCACCGCAUGGUGGGUGUUGGAAAGAUUUAUCGGUUUUGGAUGGACUCGCGGCCUAUCAGCUUGUUGGUGAGGUAAUGGCUCACCAAGGCGACGACGGGAAGCCGGCCUGAGAGGGUGACCGGCCACACUGGGACUGAGACACGGCCCAGACUCCUACGGGAGGCAGCAGUGGGGAAUAUUGCACAAUGGGCGCAAGCCUGAUGCAGCGACGCCGCGUGAGGGAUGACGGCCUUCGGGUUGUAAACCUCUUUCAGUAGGGAAGAAGCGAAAGUGACGGUACCUGCAGAAGAAGCACCGGCUAACUACGUG